UGGGUGUCUUCAGAGGGAAAAGCUAUUUUUCGCCGGCGUCAUAAAAGGGUGACCCUGCGCCGGUGCGCUCGCGGCAUUAUCGCGCCAGUUGUGAUCGCGCCAUCACACGGUCCUGGUUGUGGUACGCCUUGCCCUCAAGACUAUCAUGGAGUAUGAGGUGCGGGAAGGUAGGCGACGGGGCAGCCGCGUCUACGCAUGUGCUGACGGCCACAUCUACGUUUCGAAAACCAAGAUUGGACUCAGCACAUAUCUCCAGUGCCAUCAGCGUGAGAACACUGCAGUGAGAUGCUUGGGGACGGCCGUUUUGAACGGUGGGCGCAUCCGCCUAAACCGGCCGCAUACUCAUGCUCCACUUCACCUGGAUAACGAGAUGUUGAGCGUGACGUCGGCAAUUAGGACUGCUGUCCAAAAUGAUGUAGAGGGGAGGACAAACCGCCAAAUUUUCAAUCACCUGGCGCAAGGCGAGGCGGGAGCCGCGCUCAGUUACCAAGGAAUGCGGCAGAUUAUGCUACGACAGAGGCGGGUCAAUCAGCCCGCCGUGCCGGAGACCGCCGUCGCAGCAGUCGCCGCGAUCGACGCAGCCGGGCCGGGACUGUCAGCACACCGCUGCUUCAGUUCUGUCGUCAAUGGGGACGAGGUAAAUGCGAAUGGAGGGCAGAUGCCAGCAUCCGUUUAUGACAUGCAUAACUCACUACCAUCAAGUGCGGCUGUGGUACAUCACUUCUCGUCCUGAAUGUGCAAUUUCGG
Molecule: long non-coding RNA, 747 nt
Organism: Pollicipes pollicipes
Lineage: Eukaryota; Metazoa; Arthropoda; Thecostraca; Pollicipedomorpha; Pollicipedidae
Exons: 3
Source: RefSeq, a predicted model, not a curated record